Molecule: long non-coding RNA, 400 nt
Filed under: Phoenix dactylifera (date palm)
Lineage: Eukaryota; Viridiplantae; Streptophyta; Magnoliopsida; Arecales; Arecaceae
Description: long non-coding RNA (PDAC_LNC007176)
Source: RNAcentral
AUCCUAGCCUUCCAAUAGGUAUAAUUUGUACCAUUGAAAAAUGGUGGCCUAUUGGUGGAUUGUCCUUCACUAAGGGAGGAUCCAAAUGGGGUUGUCAUCUCAAUCUUUUACUCUUUUUAAGGAUUGGAACACCAAUCGAUAUGAGAGCACCUGCUCUGAUACCACUUGUUGCCCAAGGAGACAACCCAAGAGGAGGGGGGGGGGGUGAAUUGGGUUUUGAUUAAAUAUUGACCAAUUAAAAACUUAAUGAGUGAUUAACUAAACCUAUUGUAAGUGAAUUAGUUAGACCACUAAAUGCAAUGAGUGAAGAGAGAUGAAGAGAUAAGGACUAAUACAAACACAGAGAGGUUUAUAGUGGUUUGGAGCCAACUCUUGCUCCUACGUCCACUCCCCAAGCCAC